Roseovarius marisflavi is the source of this 354-nucleotide non-coding RNA. The record is from Rfam. Lineage: Bacteria; Pseudomonadati; Pseudomonadota; Alphaproteobacteria; Rhodobacterales; Roseobacteraceae.
CCCCUAGGCAAGCCCCGCCAUAGCCCCUAUAUGUGGCUUGUCUCUUCGGGGACUAUGGACAUAAACGCGCUCGUAAUACGCGGAUCGGACCCGGGGGCGGUACCCGGCGACUCCACCAAUAAUCCCUUCAUUUGGGGGAUCCUGGGGUCGAAACAGGAUCGACGAACGUCUAAAGGGGUAUUGCUUUGUCUCGGUGAGGUACCACCGUUAUCGGUCCGAAAAGUACAAUUGCAAAUGACAAUCGUGCUCCGGUAGCUCUCGCAGCGUAAGCUGUUAGAAAAACCGAAAACUAAGCCCUUGCGCCUAGCAGCGUAAGGCGGGGUUCGCAGGCACCUGGCAACAGAAGCCUGCACU